RNAcentral lists this ribosomal RNA (517 nucleotides) under uncultured bacterium. RNAcentral describes it as "bacterial SSU rRNA". It matches the Rfam family "Bacterial small subunit ribosomal RNA", at positions 28 to 529 of the family's 1533-position model. The record is from RNAcentral.
GACGAACGCUGGCGGCGUGCCUAACACAUGCAAGUCGAGCGGUCUGAGCGCGAGGUGAAAGGGGUAAAACCUGGACACGGAGUGAGCAGAUAGCGGCGGACGGGUGAGUAACACGUAGGUAACCUGCCCUGCACAGCGGGAUAACACUGGGAAACUGGUGCUAAUACCGCAUGAGAUAUACGAUGCCAAGGCGUUGUAUAUUAAAGGGUGAACGAAAAGGGAGCCUGGUGCAGGAUGGGCCUGCGUCCGAUUAGCUAGUUGGUGGGGUAAAGGCCUACCAAGGCGACGAUCGGUAGCCGGACUGAGAGGUUGGCCGGCCACAUUGGGACUGAGACACGGCCCAGACUCCUACGGGAGGCAGCAGUGGGAAUAUUGCGCAAUGGGGGAACCCUGACGCAGCGACGCCGCGUGAAGGAGAAGGCCUUCGGGUUGUAAACUUCUUUGACCGGGACGAAGGAAGUGACGGUACCGGGAACAAGCCACGGCUAACUACGUGCCAGCAGCCGCGGUAAUAGUA